AUUGAACGCUGGCGGCAUGCCUUACACAUGCAAGUCGAACGGCAGCACGGGAGCAAUCCUGGUGGCGAGUGGCGAACGGGUGAGUAAUACAUCGGAACGUGCCCAAUCGUGGGGGAUAACGCAGCGAAAGCUGUGCUAAUACCGCAUACGAUCUACGGAUGAAAGCAGGGGAUCGCAAGACCUUGCGCGAAUGGAGCGGCCGAUGGCAGAUUAGGUAGUUGGUGAGGUAAAGGCUCACCAAGCCGUCGAUCUGUAGCUGGUCUGAGAGGACGACCAGCCACACUGGGACUGAGACACGGCCCAGACUCCUACGGGAGGCAGCAGUGGGGAAUUUUGGACAAUGGGCGAAAGCCUGAUCCAGCCAUGCCGCGUGCAGGAUGAAGGCCUUCGGGUUGUAAACUGCUUUUGUACGGAACGAAACGGCCUUUUCUAAUAAAGAGGGCUAAUGACGGUACCGUAAGAAUAAGCACCGGCUAACUACGUGCCAGCAGCCGCGGUAAUACGUAGGGUGCAAGCGUUAAUCGGAAUUACUGGGUGUAAAGCGUGCGCAGGCGGUUAUGUAAGACAGUUGUGAAAUCCCCGGGCUCAACCUGGGAACUGCAUCUGUGACUGCAUAGCUAGAGUACGGUAGAGGGGGAUGGAAUUCCGCGUGUAGCAGUGAAAUGCGUAGAUAUGCGGAGGAACACCGAUGGCGAAGGCAAUCCCCUGGACCUGUACUGACGCUCAUGCACGAAAGCGUGGGGAGCAAACAGG
This 753-nucleotide ribosomal RNA is filed under the name uncultured Comamonadaceae bacterium. Its description in RNAcentral is "bacterial SSU rRNA". It matches the Rfam family "Bacterial small subunit ribosomal RNA", at positions 28 to 776 of the family's 1533-position model. The record is from RNAcentral. Lineage: Bacteria; Pseudomonadati; Pseudomonadota; Betaproteobacteria; Burkholderiales; Comamonadaceae.